SAUAGGUUUAGAUUAGUAUAAAUAUAGAAAUUUAAAGUUUUUGGCGGUAAAUUAAUUUUAGAGGAGCUUGCUUAAUAAUUGACUUUACUCAUUGAAUUUAACUUUGUUAAGUUUAUUUAUCUCCGUUAUUAGAAUUGUUUAUUUGAAUAAAUUUAUAGGUUAGAUUUCAGGUCAAGAUGUAGCAAAAAAAGGUAAAGGUGAGCUACAUUAUAGAAUAUGUGGAUUGAGCUUUUGAAAGGUUAGUGAAAAUGGAUUUAUUAGUAAUUUUCUUUAGGAUGGGAAGGUGAAUUAAUAAGAUUU
This 300-nucleotide ribosomal RNA is filed under the name Martensiellus sp. DNA102597. RNAcentral's name for it is "partial 12S ribosomal RNA". The record is from RNAcentral. Lineage: Eukaryota; Metazoa; Arthropoda; Arachnida; Opiliones; Sandokanidae.